This 581-nucleotide ribosomal RNA is filed under the name Lysobacter sp. BvIRR042. RNAcentral describes it as "bacterial SSU rRNA". It matches the Rfam family "Bacterial small subunit ribosomal RNA", at positions 102 to 679 of the family's 1533-position model. Lineage: Bacteria; Pseudomonadati; Pseudomonadota; Gammaproteobacteria; Lysobacterales; Lysobacteraceae. The record is from RNAcentral. RNAcentral also lists the same sequence under 3 other names.
ACGGGUGAGGAAUACGUCGGAAUCUGCCUAUUUGUGGGGGAUAACGUAGGGAAACUUACGCUAAUACCGCAUACGACCUACGGGUGAAAGCGGAGGACCUUCGGGCUUCGCGCAGAUAGAUGAGCCGACGUCGGAUUAGCUAGUUGGCGGGGUAAAGGCCCACCAAGGCGACGAUCCGUAGCUGGUCUGAGAGGAUGAUCAGCCACACUGGAACUGAGACACGGUCCAGACUCCUACGGGAGGCAGCAGUGGGGAAUAUUGGACAAUGGGCGCAAGCCUGAUCCAGCCAUGCCGCGUGUGUGAAGAAGGCCUUCGGGUUGUAAAGCACUUUUGUCCGGAAAGAAAAGCAUUGGGUUAAUACCCCGAUGUCAUGACGGUACCGGAAGAAUAAGCACCGGCUAACUUCGUGCCAGCAGCCGCGGUAAUACGAAGGGUGCAAGCGUUACUCGGAAUUACUGGGCGUAAAGCGUGCGUAGGUGGUUUGUUAAGUCUGAUGUGAAAGCCCUGGGCUCAACCUGGGAAUGGCAUUGGAAACUGGCUGACUAGAGUGCGGUAGAGGGUAGUGGAAUUCCCGGUGUAGC